GUUUGCUUUCGCUUCAGUCUGCCAAAAGGCUGUACAGAAGUUCUUUGGGUAUCUGUUGCCUGUGUCUUUUUUGGGGGGAGGGGGGGAUGGAUUGGGAAUCUGAUGUUGGUUUUCCCAAGAUCUUCCUGAUCUGGAGACACAUUCCGCUUGGAGCCAUGAGGGCAGCAUUUGCAGAGCAGCCUCUCAGCCUCGAGAGCCUUUGAAAUACCGCCCCUUUUGCCCCUUCCACCCCCAUUUGAGUUUCAGAAUCGGAAAGGACUUCAGGGGCUACCUAAUUCAACCCAUACUCAACAAAAAUCUUCUCUACAAGACACUUGUCAUUUGGUCAUCCAGUCACUAUUUGAUGAUUUCCAGUAAAGGGAGAUCUGCCUCCCUUCAUCAGCACUACAUCCUGAGCCAGCCCAUGCCACUUUGUUGUUCAGUUGUGUACAUCUCUUUGUGGACUCCAUUUGGGGUUUUCUUGCUGUGUACUGCUUUGCUUAAUGAGACUGAGACUGUCAGCAACAAAAGAGUAGUGAUGAGCCAAACAAGUCUUCUUGGAACCUAUGUUUGUUUGCUGUUUAUAGCUGAGGGUCUCCAGCUUUACCUUUUAGAAGAGACUGCAAAUCUCUUUCCAGCAAGUACAACCAAAGUGGGUAGAGUAGUGUCAACAUCAAGAUCAUCCCCUGAUAUCAGGAGCGUUCCAUGAGCAACUCAUUGCACUUUAACCCCAGAGCCUGAAUCAACAGACCUGAUCUCAGUGAUGCUUGGCCAAGAAUAUAGGCAUUAUGAGUGCUUCCUUCCCUUUACUACAAUGACAAAAGAAAGAGGUAAAAGAAAACUGUUCAACACAACUAAUGAAUACAUCAUCUUAGUCUGACAGUACAUGCUGUGUUCCACACUCCUGCAAAGAAGGGAGAGAGACAGCAACAAAGUUGAUCAUUUCCAUAGAUGAUGAUGAAUAGAAAAAAGAAUUGCAUGUGAAACUAAAUCUCAGCUCUUGCAAGCUUCAGGUUCUGAAGGACUUAGACAAGGAUGGAACUACCUGACAUAUACUUCUGGUACCUGUCCAGUGCUACUAGAAGAGCUGUGGAGGCCUCAGAUGGGAACCGAUCUGACCAACCCAUGCUUCUGUCUCCUGUCCCACCCUCUGUCCCCCAAAAGUCUACUGGAGAUCUGAGAUUUGGAUAGAGCUGUCUACUUCUAGCCUUCCAGACUCCUUUGCACCAUCUCCCUCUAGAAAGCCCUCCAUCCAGUCAAGAUCUGGAAAAAAAAAGAGAGAGAACCAGACCUUAGUACUUCUUAAACUAUGGGUUGUGAACCUUGUGUGGGGGUUGUGAAAGAUUUGGCAACAGUAAAAGGUUUCUGAGUGUGCAACACCCAAAAAUUAAUUCAAAAUCAAACAUGCAGUGAAUCUAAGGUGUUUCUGGCAGCACUUGCCCACGUUGCAUCUCACAGCUUCACUUGGUUAUGAACACAAAGCAUUCACAUUUUGCACUGUACAUCCUGUCACGCCCAUGCAGCCUGGCCAGUGGAUGCUUCUGAAAUGCAAAAAGGGGUCAUGAGUGAAAAAAGUUUAAGGAGCCCUGACCUAGUAGAUGUUUGGAGAGACUUUGCGCCCAGAAACAUAUCAAGGAAUUAAUUUCUACUUAUCUCUACAAAAUGGUAUUUUUUAAAAAUCCCUUGCUGAUUAGAGGGGGAGUGGAAGGAGAUAGGUCAGCAGAACGGGACUUUGUCUCCUCUGACAGGGCACCCACAUAAAAUAAUUGCCUGCUUUGCCUUCUGCAUUCUUUGCUGUGAUUCUAACAUUUCUAGGCAAAAGGAGAAUGAGAAACUGGUGAGGAACCAACAAGCUUAUGAGGAUUGCUGUGCUUUUUAGGGGGCAUCUGAAAGAGAUGAGACUUAAUCCAAGCUCUCUAGAGAAAUCAUCUGCCCUCAGGGUUGCCAACCUCACUCUUGCUCUUGCCAGCAUCCUUAACCUCUCCUCCCUGCCCUAAUGGAAGGUAUAAGAGAAAGCAAGGAAUCUUCUCCAAUUUUAAGACUGGCUCCAAAGAGGAAAAUGAGUUAGCUGUGCAUACUACAUCCGUGUCAGAACCGUGAAGGUACAAAGGCACAUUUGGAGACUCCAACUGAAUUGGGCCUGUUCUGAAGUAAAAACCUUUGGAUUCCUCAGGCAGAGCUCCAAGCGUGAAGUACAAUUUGAAGUACAAAUUCUAGCAGAACUGCCAUAAUUCUGGGCAGGAUCCAUUGAGGGAGAAGAGAAUGAAACACAUUCGAACCCUGCCAGAAGGUAGGGGAGAGAGGUAGUGAAAGACCUUUCCACCUUGUCCUGUUACCCAUGUGAUCUUCACUCUAGACGUCCUGUGGGGCAUUGCAGUGUGAUCUAAUGGAAGAUUUUAAAAGGGUUUUAUUUGAUAAGAACAUGGUGGACAUGAGAUGUAAGUAAAAAGAGGAAAAAAAAGAUGCAGUUUCCCCAUGUACAAGUCAAGAAUCUUCAACAAGCUGAAGGCCUGCUAGUUAAACCUCUGAUUUAUGGGUACUCUGAGCUAGCUCUGCUCUGCAUAAGUUACCCAAACGAAAACUGAGAGAUAAAUGUAAUUUGUUUUUCCAGACAGACUGACCAUAUCUGCGAGCACCGGGUCCCUUAUCCUGAUCUCUGUGGGUGGACCCAAGUCUCUGAAACAGGGAGUAUUCCACUCCCCUAUCAUGAUCAGAGGAGCUGCUCCCAUCCUCUACUACUCUGACCAGGCACAUUUCCCAUGCCUAGAAAAUUCUCACCACCUCUUACUGUCCUAAUCCUUGUGAUACUGAAUUGCCAGCCGCCCGAGUAAGCCACUCUUGCUCUGCAGCCCCUUCUAGUCUGCAUCCACCUCAACCCCUCUCCUUUGUUAUUAUCCGCCUCCAUCCUCUCUUUACAUUGUGUCCUUCAAAAUUCUGGUGUCAUCAUUUUAAAAAUUCUCUUUAUUUCUGAUCCUUUCCCUUUGCAUUCCUCCCUUCUUCUGGUGCUGGCAGAAGCCUAACUCACCCAACCCUGCCCCCACCUCCCCAGCUGACACUGGCCAUGCCUGACUUUCCUCCUGGCACUGAUGGCACUUUGUCUCGUGCUCCUCGACGCACUACGUUUGGAGGACGGAUUGGAAUACUCCUUUCCCUGAACUACUGCUCGCAGAUGCUCCCUUUGUUGUCAUCAUUCAGCAAGGAUGACUAUCCAAAAAUAUCAUCCAGUUCAGAUAUUAAUGGUAGCAAUCUGCUGGUGUCCAAGUCGUUCUCCUUCUGUUCCUGAACAGUUACGCGUUUGGCUCACAGUCUUCCUGUCCACCCUGAUUCCUGCCCUGUACUAUGGGACUUCAGCAUACAUGUUAGUGGUCCUGGCUCCCACUUCUUCAGUCUCUUCAGCUCCCAUAGCAUAUUUCUGUACCCAGCAUCUCAGAUAGACACAGUACAGACAUGCUCACAACUUCCUUGAUCUCAUCCUCACCCACAAGUGUUCCACGUCCAUGAUCAAAAAUCUGUAACUUUCCUCUGUCUGAUCAUGACUUAUUUUUCCAUACCUUCUUUUGUCUUAAUCCUUCUCAACUCUUCUUUUUCAAGACAUUGACAGCCAGUGCAAAGGUGCAGAGACAGAAGGAUUGUCGUGUAUACGUGUUCUGUCCUCCAAUAAAAUGUAAGGUGCUUGAGAA
This is a non-coding RNA of Phascolarctos cinereus (koala), 3659 nucleotides long. Lineage: Eukaryota; Metazoa; Chordata; Mammalia; Diprotodontia; Phascolarctidae. The record is from RefSeq and is a predicted model, not a curated record.